RNAcentral lists this ribosomal RNA (305 nucleotides) under uncultured bacterium. RNAcentral describes it as "bacterial SSU rRNA". It matches the Rfam family "Bacterial small subunit ribosomal RNA", at positions 338 to 660 of the family's 1533-position model. The record is from RNAcentral.
CCUACGGGGCGCAGCAGUGGGGAAUAUUGCACAAUGGGGGGAACCCUGAUGCAGCGACGCCGCGUGGGCGAUGGAGUAUUUCGGUAUGUAAAGCCCUAUCGGCAGGGAAGAAGCUGACAGUACCUGACUAAGAAGCCCCGGCUAACUACGUGCCAGCAGCCGCGGUAAUACGUAUGGGGCAAGCGUUAUCCGGAUUUACUGGGUGUAAAGGGAGCGUAGGCGGCUGUGUAAGCCAGAAGUGAAAGCCCGAGGCUCAACCACGGGACUGCUUUUGGAACUACAUGGCUUGAUUGCAGGAGAGGCAA